CCUACGGGAGGCAGCAGUGGGGAAUAUUGCACAAUGGGGGAAACCCUGAUGCAGCGACGCCGCGUGAGUGAAGAAGUAUUUCGGUAUGUAAAGCUCUAUCAUCAGGGAAGAAGAAAGACGGUACCUGACUAAGAAGCCCCGGCUAACUACGGGCCAGCAGCCGCGGUAAUACGUAGGGGGCAAGCGUUAUCCGGAUUUACUGGGUGGAAAGGGAGCGGAGACGGCUGUGCUAGGCUGAAGUUAAAGCCCAGGGCUCAAACCUGGGACAGCUUUGGAUACUGUGGAGCUAGAGUGCUGGAGAGGUAAGUGGAAGUCCAAGUGUAGCGGUGAAAUGCGUAGAUAUGAGGAGGAACACCAGUGGCGAAGGCGGCUUACUGGACAGUAACUGACGUUGAGGCUCGAAAGCGUGGGGAGCAAACAGGAUUAGAUACCCUAGUAGUC
This 441-nucleotide ribosomal RNA is filed under the name uncultured bacterium. RNAcentral describes it as "partial 16S ribosomal RNA". It matches the Rfam family "Bacterial small subunit ribosomal RNA", at positions 338 to 795 of the family's 1533-position model. The record is from RNAcentral.